GAUGAACGCUGGCGGCGUGCCUAAUACAUGCAAGUCGAGCGAACAGACGAGGAGCUUGCUCCUCUGACGUUAGCGGCGGACGGGUGAGUAACACGUGGAUAACCUACCUAUAAGACUGGGAUAACUUCGGGAAACCGGAGCUAAUACCGGAUAAUAUAUUGAACCGCAUGGUUCAAUAGUGAAAGACGGUUUUGCUGUCACUUAUAGAUGGAUCCGCGCCGCAUUAGCUAGUUGGUAAGGUAACGGCUUACCAAGGCAACGAUGCGUAGCCGACCUGAAAGGGUGAUCGGCCACACUGGAACGGAGACACGGUCCAGACUCCUACGGGAGGCAGCAGUAGGGAAUCUUCCGCAAUGGGCGAAAGCCUGACGGAGCAACGCCGCGUGAGUGAUGAAGGUCUUCGGAUCGUAAAACUCUGUUAUUAGGGAAGAACAAAUGUGUAAGUAACUAUGCACGUCUUGACGGUACCUAAUCAGAAAGCCACGGCUAACUACGUG
This 497-nucleotide ribosomal RNA is filed under the name uncultured bacterium. Its description in RNAcentral is "partial 16S ribosomal RNA". It matches the Rfam family "Bacterial small subunit ribosomal RNA", at positions 28 to 507 of the family's 1533-position model. The record is from RNAcentral.